CGGUACCUGCAGGGUAUAGGGUUACUGACUGGAGCUGAUCAGGUGCUGGUAAUCCUGCUCAAGUUCCCAUUCCUGGACAGCCAAUUCAAUCAGGUCUGGCCUUAGGUCUUCAGCCAUAGGGAGAUCUAGCAUGGCCUCUCUGUAGUCAAAUAUGUCCCAACUGCGCAGGCCGGGUGGAGGUAUGACACUAGCCUGCUCAGUGCAUCUACGUAAGAGGUAACAAAAUCAUUGACUAUUUAUACACAGACACUAAUUGCAAUUUUAAAAGCCACAGGUGUGGGAAAUGAACCUUUAAUUGCCAUUUUAACCCCUCUGUGACGAAUGACGGACCCGGUCCGUCAUGCCGGGCAAGUAGUUAACGCCGGAUGAUGGACCGGGUAAUAUAUGCCUUUUGAAAUACCCUGGGAUGUCUUCUUUAAGAAAUGGUAUGCCUUUAUGGUGUAAUUGUAAUAUGAAGCCUGCUCAAGUGCUCCAAAGUGAGACACGGACGUAUCAAAACUCAUGAAAAUUCACACUUAAAAACCUGAACUUGUCACGUCUCUUUUACAGCACUGUAACGUCACAAAAUUGUGUCUAG
Non-coding RNA from Pelobates cultripes (western spadefoot toad), 577 nucleotides. Lineage: Eukaryota; Metazoa; Chordata; Amphibia; Anura; Pelobatidae. The record is from the annotation of a GenBank genome assembly.